CCACCAUCAGUCUGGACCCCGAAGGCCCCAGAAACUCUGUUCUCUCCGGCCCGCUGCCGAUCUUCCGCCUCCGCCAGCCAGAGGCACCAUGAAAUUGGAAUUCACCGAGAAAAACUACAACAGCUUUGUGCUCCAGAGCCUGAACAGACAGAGGAAACGAAGAGAGUACUGGGACAUGGCCCUCACCGUGGACCACCACGUCUUCUUUGCACAUCGCAACGUGCUGGCUGCUGUCUCUCCGCUGGUGAAGAGCCUCGUGCCCAGCAACGACGUGACGAGCACCGAUGAGCUCUUCAUCUCCAUUGAGCCCAGCUACCUGAGCCCGGCCGCGGUGGAGCAGCUCCUGGACUACUUCUACAGCGGCAAGGUGGUGAUCUCGGAGCAGAACGUGGAGGAGCUGCUGCGGGGCGCCCAGUACUUCAACACACCGCACCUCCGAGUCCACUGCAACGACUUCCUCAUUAAGUCCAUCCGCCGGGCCAACUGCUUGCGCUACCUCUUCCUGGCUGAGCUGUUUGAGCUCAAAGAGGUGUCGGACCUGGCCUACUCCGGCAUCCGGGACAACUUCCACUACUGGGCCAGUGCCGAGGGCUCCCCGCACUUCAUGCACUGCCCGCCGGUCAUCUUCGGCCGCCUGCUGCGCGAUGAGAACCUCCACGUGCUCAACGAGGACCAGGCGCUCAGCGCGCUCAUCAGCUGGGUGCACUUCCGGAAGGAGGAGCGGGAGAAGUACUUCAAGAAGUUCUUCAACUACAUCAGUCUCAACGCUGUCACCAACAAGACGCUGACGUUGGCCAGGAACAAGCUCGUGGGCAUGGAGGGCAGCUCGUGCCACGUCAUGCUGAUCGAGAGCGUCCUGGUGGACCGCAAGCAAGAGCGGCCCUGCAGCCUGCUGGCCUACCAGCGCAAAGGGUCCCUGCUCGACUCGGUGGUCAUCCUCGGGGGCCAGAAGGCCCAGGGCAAGUUCAACGACGGCAUGUUUGCCUACAUCAUCCAGGAGAACCUGUGGUUGAAGCUCUCCGAGAUGCCCUACCGGGCAGCGGCGCUCAGCGCCACCUCUGCCGGCCGCUACAUCUACGUCUCCGGCGGCACCACGGAGCAGAUCUCAGGGCUGAAGACGGCCUGGCGGUAUGACAUGGAUGACAACUCCUGGACCAACUUGCCCGACCUGCCCAUCGGGCUGGUCUUCCACACCAUGGCGACCUGCGGGGGCAAGGUGUACUCGGUGGGCGGCAGCAUCGCCCCAAGGCGCUACGUCUCUAACAUCUAUCGCUACGACGAGCACAAGGAGGCCUGGUGCCUGGCAGGGAAGAUGAGCAUCCCCAUGGAUGGCACGGCUGUGAUCACCAAGGGUGACCGGAGCCUGUAUAUCGUCACUGGGCGCUGCUUGGUGAAAGGCUACAUCUCCAGGGUCGGGGUAGUCGACUGCUUCGACACCAGCACCGGGGAGGUGGUCCAGUGUAUCACCUUCCCCAUUGAGUUCAACCACCGGCCCUUGCUCUCCUUCCAGCAGGACAACAUCCUCUGCGUGCACAGCCACCGGCAGAGCGUGGAAAUCAACCUGCAGAAGAUAAAGGCCAACAAGACCACCACCUCGGUGCCCCUCUUGCCCAACGACUGUCCCCUGGAUGUGUCCCAUGCCAUAUGCUCCAUUGGAGACGACAAGGUGUUUGUAUGUGGAGGCGUCACCACGGCCAGCAAUGUUCAGACCAAGGACUACACCAUCAAUCCAAAUGCCUACCUGCUGGACCAAAAGACCGGCGAGUGGCAGACCCUGGCCUCUCCCCCGGAGGCGCUGGACUGUCCCGCCUGCUGUCUAGCCAAGCUACCCUGCAAGAUUCUUCAAAGGAUGUAAACAACUUUUGAAGUACCAGACUAACCACUGUGUGGUGAACAGGGACCAGAUCCCAAUUACUCACUCUUGGGAAUGCCAAACUUUGAGCUGUGAGCAGCUUAUGAGGAGAGAGGCUCAGGAGGCAGAGCACUGAGGCCUCUUGACAAAAGUCAUGUGAAAGACUUUGAAAGUGGGUUUCCCUAUCCCUCUUCCCCAAACUGUCAAUGGCUGAAUUUCUGGAUAACUCAGGAUCACAAGUUUUAGUCCCACAUGGGUAACUUAG
Molecule: RNA transcript, 2117 nt
Organism: Fukomys damarensis (Damara mole-rat)
Lineage: Eukaryota; Metazoa; Chordata; Mammalia; Rodentia; Bathyergidae
Gene: Ccin
Gene name: calicin
Exons: 3
Source: RefSeq, a predicted model, not a curated record